UAGGACGACGUCUGUUACCUUUUUGGAGGCAUACGUCUAGGGUAGGAUUGGUGACUGGAGUUAAGUCGUAACAAGGUAUCCCUACGAGAACGUGGGGAUGGAUCACCUCCUUUCUUCGGAGUAAAUUUUAAAUUUACGUACAAAAGUGUACAUUUUAUAAAAAUCCAUUAUAUAUAAGCCACAAAUUAUUUUUAUUAUAUUCAUAUAAUGGUCGGAUUCUAUUUAGUUUUGAGAGAUUCAUUCUCUCCCAUAUUAGUAUUAAUACAUUAAUAUGGUGAUCGAUCUUUGAAAACUGAAUAAUAUCAACAAAUCUUUCUAAUCAAUGGCGAUUUAAUUUGUCAUUGAACAGAUACUAUAUUUUUAAUAUAGUUAACAAUCAUAUAACAAAACUUAAAGGAUUUAUAAUAAGUUACUAAGAGCUUAUGGUGAAUGCCUUGGGACAAACAGGCGAUGAAGGACGUGCAAAUCUGCGAUAAGCAACGGGUAGUUGAUAAGAAACGCCAAUCCGUUGAUCUCCGAAUGAGGAAACUCAGUAUAGUAACUCCAUUACUAUAUUAUUAUUAAGUAAAUUCAUAGCUUAAUAAAGCAAUACUUGGUGAAGUGAAACAUCUCAGUAGCCAAAGGAAAAGAAAACGAAUGUGAUUCCCUCAGUAGCGGCGAGCGAAAGGGGAGUAGGCCAAACCAAGAUUUAUCUUGGGGUUGUAGGACUACAAUGUGGACUAAAUAAUGAUAGUAGAAUUGGUUGGGAAGCCAAAUCAUAGAGGGUGAUAAUCCCGUAUACGAA
Molecule: unclassified non-coding RNA, 784 nt
Filed under: Ureaplasma diversum
Lineage: Bacteria; Bacillati; Mycoplasmatota; Mycoplasmoidales; Mycoplasmoidaceae
Description: partial contains 16S ribosomal RNA, 16S-23S ribosomal RNA intergenic spacer, and 23S ribosomal RNA
Rfam family: Bacterial large subunit ribosomal RNA (bases 403-784)
Source: RNAcentral